RNAcentral lists this ribosomal RNA (253 nucleotides) under uncultured Pseudomonas sp. Its description in RNAcentral is "partial 16S ribosomal RNA". It matches the Rfam family "Bacterial small subunit ribosomal RNA", at positions 99 to 355 of the family's 1533-position model. The record is from RNAcentral. Lineage: Bacteria; Pseudomonadati; Pseudomonadota; Gammaproteobacteria; Pseudomonadales; Pseudomonadaceae.
CGGACGGGUGAGUAAUGCCUAGGAAUCUGCCUGGUAGUGGGGGACAACGUUUCGAAAGGAACGCUAAUACCGCAUACGUCCUACGGGAGAAAGCAGGGGACCUUCGGGCCUUGCGCUAUCAGAUGAGCCUAGGUCGGAUUAGCUAGUUGGUGAGGUAAUGGCUCACCAAGGCGACAUCCGUAACUGGUCUGAGAGGAUGAUCAGUCACACUGGAACUGAGACACGGUCCAGACUCCUACGGGAGGCAGCAGCA